AGAAUGUAAAUAUAUGUCCUCGCCUUAAAAAGCGUUGAUAAACUUAUACAACUUUCAACAACGGAUCUCUGGGCUCUCGCAUCGAUGAAGAACGCAGCGAAAUGCGAUAAGUAAUGUGAAUUGCAGAUUUUCAGUGAAUCAUCGAAUCUUUGAACGCACCUUGCGCUCCUUGGUAUUCCGAGGAGCAUGCCUGUUUGAGUGUCAUUAAAUUCUCAACUCUGAUCGAUUUGUUUCGACUUCGGAGCUUGGAUUUGGAGCGUGCUGGCGUCGGUCGGCUCCUCUUAAAUGCAUCAGCGGAAUCUAACGUUUCGGACGUCAGUGUGAUAAUCAUGUUGCGCUGUCUGUCUGAUCUGAAAGCCCGCUCACAAUGGUCUUCGGACAACUUCAUAUCAAAUUUGACCUCAAAUCAGGUAGGACUACCCGCUGAACUUAAGCAUAUCAAUAAGCGGAGGA
RNAcentral lists this ribosomal RNA (453 nucleotides) under ectomycorrhizal fungal sp. AR-Ny1. RNAcentral's name for it is "eukaryotic LSU rRNA". The stretch from base 50 to 204 matches the Rfam family "5.8S ribosomal RNA". The record is from RNAcentral. Lineage: Eukaryota; Fungi.